Molecule: long non-coding RNA, 553 nt
Filed under: Homo sapiens (human)
Lineage: Eukaryota; Metazoa; Chordata; Mammalia; Primates; Hominidae
Description: non-protein coding lnc-PAH-3:4
Source: RNAcentral
GACCUGCGCGGAAAGUUCAUUCUGAGUGCGUCCUGGCGAGUCUCAGCCCCCAAGCGGGUGGAACGCACCAAGGGUCUCAUCCGCGAGGAAGGGCUUUAACGCUCAGGGUCAGGAACCUCUGAGAGCUCUUGGGGACUUGCGCGCCCUUGGAUGCUCUUGCGUUCAACAGGGCUAGGAGACUACCGGCUGGGGCGAGGAAUGCAGGCGCCUAGAGCCUUGGAGCUCCUGAAACGUUCCUGCCGCCUCCGGAAAGCAAGGGCAGUUUACCGAAGUGACUGAGGCCAAGUAUUUGCAGCACGGGCAGGGACCAGUAACUGAUUUUCAGGCCUUUUGAGAGGAAGAGGAAGAGAGAGGAAGAGAAGGAUUUCUAAUAGUAGAUAUUCACUCUCAUGGACUCUUUAGGAAACAGCAACAAAGACAAGAUUAAGAACACCAAAUUGUGUGACUAUCCACACAAAAAAGCAUCUUCAUAAGAACCAAAAAUCAGCUCCAGACAGCUCAGCACAGAGUGAGAGACUCUAUUCAUCUGGGAGGAAGUAAGGAUUAAAAACAA